GUCUGACACGCGCCGACGGUAGCCAGUCUGGCUCCAACAUACGGCCGCGGUGCAAUGAC
This 59-nucleotide non-coding RNA is filed under the name Hyphomicrobium sp. ghe19. RNAcentral describes it as "SECIS_3". It matches the Rfam family "Selenocysteine insertion sequence 3". Lineage: Bacteria; Pseudomonadati; Pseudomonadota; Alphaproteobacteria; Hyphomicrobiales; Hyphomicrobiaceae. The record is from RNAcentral.